UACGAAGGGGGCUAGCGUUGCUCGGAAUCACUGGGCGUAAAGGGCGCGUAGGCGGCCAUUCAAGUCGGAGGUGAAAGCCCAGGGCUCAACCCUGGAAUUGCCUUCGAUACUGUUUGGCUAGAGACCGGAAGAGGUAAGUGGAACUGCGAGUGUAGAGGUGAAAUUCGUAGAUAUUCGCAAGAACACCCGUGGCGAAAGCGGCUCUCUGGGACGGUACUGACGCUGAGACGCGAAAGCGUGGGGAGCGAACAGG
Molecule: ribosomal RNA, 253 nt
Filed under: uncultured bacterium
Lineage: Bacteria
Description: partial 16S ribosomal RNA
Rfam family: Bacterial small subunit ribosomal RNA
Source: RNAcentral